Molecule: non-coding RNA, 189 nt
Filed under: Daphnia pulex (common water flea)
Lineage: Eukaryota; Metazoa; Arthropoda; Branchiopoda; Diplostraca; Daphniidae
Description: Eukaryotic large subunit ribosomal RNA
Rfam family: Eukaryotic large subunit ribosomal RNA
Source: Rfam by way of RNAcentral
GGACCUGAUAUCAGACAAGACUACCCGCUGAACUUAAGCAUAUUAAUAAGCGGAGGAAAAGAAACUAACAAGGAUUCCCUCAGUAACGGCGAGUGAAGCGGGAAGAGCUCAAGCUUAAAAUCUCCACCUUGGUGGCGAAUUGUAGUCUAUUGAGGCUGUUGUCAGCAUAGCGACCUGGGACAAGUCCCU